UACGUAGGGUGCGAGCGUUAAUCGGAAUUACUGGGCGUAAAGCGUGCGCAGGCGGUUUGUUAAGUCUGAUGUGAAAGCCCCGGGCUCAACCUGGGAACUGCAUUGGAAACUGGCAAGCUCGAGUAUGGCAGAGGGGGGUGGAAUUCCGCGUGUAGCAGUGAAAUGCGUAGAGAUGCGGAGGAACACCGAUGGCGAAGGCAGCCCUCUGGGCCAAUACUGACGCUCAGGCACGAAAGCGUGGGGAGCAAACAGG
This 253-nucleotide ribosomal RNA is filed under the name uncultured bacterium. RNAcentral's name for it is "partial 16S ribosomal RNA". It matches the Rfam family "Bacterial small subunit ribosomal RNA", at positions 524 to 776 of the family's 1533-position model. The record is from RNAcentral.